RNAcentral lists this ribosomal RNA (253 nucleotides) under uncultured bacterium. Its description in RNAcentral is "partial 16S ribosomal RNA". It matches the Rfam family "Bacterial small subunit ribosomal RNA", at positions 524 to 776 of the family's 1533-position model. The record is from RNAcentral.
UUCGUAGGGUGCAAGCGUUGUCCGGAAUUAUUGGGCGUAAAGGGCGCGUAGGCGGCUCGGCACGUCCGUUGUGAAAUCGCCCGGCUCAACUGGGCGGGGUCGGCGGAUACGGCCGAGCUGGAGCAAGCUAGGGGGUAAUGGAAUUCCCGGUGUAGUGGUGGAAUGCGUAGAUAUCGGGAGGAACACCAGUGGCGAAGGCGGUUACCUGGAGCUUUGCUGACGCUGAUGCGCGAAAGCGUGGGGAGCGAUCCGG